Zingiber officinale is the source of this 195-nucleotide long non-coding RNA. RefSeq lists it as uncharacterized. The record is from RefSeq and is a predicted model, not a curated record. Lineage: Eukaryota; Viridiplantae; Streptophyta; Magnoliopsida; Zingiberales; Zingiberaceae. The transcript has 4 exons.
GAUCAAAAAAGCUGAGCAAAUAAGUAAAAUUAUGUUUCUUAUAAUCGAUGAAGCCGACCGAAUAUUGGAGGCUAACUUUGAGGAAGACAUGGAGAAAAUAUUUAAGCGGCUGCCAAAGACAAGGCAAACUGCUCUAUUUACAGCUACCCAAACUAAGCAGGUUGAGGAUUUUGCGAACUUGUCAUUUAAGGAAAA